This 641-nucleotide ribosomal RNA is filed under the name Talaromyces diversus. RNAcentral describes it as "eukaryotic LSU rRNA". It matches the Rfam family "Eukaryotic large subunit ribosomal RNA", at positions 24 to 668 of the family's 3401-position model. Lineage: Eukaryota; Fungi; Ascomycota; Eurotiomycetes; Eurotiales; Trichocomaceae. The record is from RNAcentral.
UUACCUCCCCUGUAACUAGCAUAUCAAUAAGCGGGGGAAAUAGGAACCAACCGGGAUUGCCUCAGUAACGGCGAGUGAAGCGGCAAGAGCUCAAAUUUGAAAUCUGGCCCCCUCGGGGUCCGAGUUGUAAUUUGGAGAGGAUGCUUCGGGAGUGGUCCCCGUUUAAGUGCCCUGGAACGGGCCGUCAUAGAGGGUGAGAAUCCCGUCUGGGAUGGGGUGUCCCCGCCCCGUGUGAAAGCUCCUUUGACGAGUCGAGUUUGUUUGGGAAAUGCAGCUUCUAAGUGGGUGGUAAUUUUCAUCUAAGGCUAAUUACUGGCCGGAGACCGAUGGCGCACAAGUGAGAGUGAUCGAAAGAAUGAAAAGCACUUUUGAAAAGAGAUUUAAACAGCACGUGAAUUUGUUGAAAGGGAAGCGUUUGCCACCAGACUCGCCCAGGGGGGUUCAGCCGGCAUGUGGUGCCGGUGUAUUCCCCCGUGGGUGGGCCAGCUUCGGUUUGGGCGGUCGUUGCAAGGCUCUCGGGAAUGUAGCACCCCCGGGGGUUCCUUAUAGCCCGGGGUGUCUUGCGGCCCGCCUGGACCGAGGCCCGCGCUUCGGUCAGGCUGCUGGCGAGUAUGGUCGUAACGACCGUCUAAAACCGAACA